Nerophis ophidion (straightnose pipefish) is the source of this 2707-nucleotide RNA transcript. It is a transcript of the gene named noelin-2-like, with no coding region annotated. The transcript is spliced from 13 exons. The record is from RefSeq and is a predicted model, not a curated record. Lineage: Eukaryota; Metazoa; Chordata; Actinopteri; Syngnathiformes; Syngnathidae.
GCAUAAUGACAGAGCAGCAGCUGAUCAAUUCACAGCAUCAGGCUCUCUCGCAGGCAAUCAAUCAAUAUGUGAGGGCAGAGAGAAGGACAGGAAGCGGAGGAAGGAGGCUGCAGGCCCACAAAAGGAGGACAAAGGGAGGCAGGGCUUGAAUUUUAGAGGCAGUGAGAUAAUAAGAAGAAGAAAAGAGGGCACAUGUUUUGUCUUUUUGACGUCACAUCUCAGGUUAACGAUGGCGCUUUGGAAGGAGGAGGAGAGCAAGGGAUGGGCGAGUGUCUGAGAGAAAGGCGGAGAGAGAGAUAAUCCAUGAGAGCAUCUCACAGCAUCCUCCUGCCAGACAGGACGCCAUCCAGGACACGCUUCCUGUGCUCAGUGGUGUGGGAGGGGGGGGCGGCGUCUUCCCAUGGACACCUCAGGAUCGAACCGUCCUUUUUUGGACCCUUGGAACUGAAGAGUAAGAUUUGAUUUCAAUCAGCGGGACUGCCGCUGUCAACAGUUUGGAACACCUCGACCAGCUGUUGUGUGUGUGUGUGUGUGUGAGCGUGUGUGUGCGUGUGUGUGUCAAGAUGAGCGUGCCCAUGUUAAAGAUCGGCGCCGUGCUCAGCACCAUGGCCAUGGUCACCAACUGGAUGUCCCAGACGCUGCCUUCCCUGGUCGGACUCAACGGAACCGUCAUCUCUCCCGAGGGGACGCAUGAGCGCAUCGUCAGUGGUUUGUACCCGGGCUCCGAGGAAGUAUGGCAGGUCUACAGCACCGCCUCCGACCCGGACGGCAAGUGCGUGUGCGCGGUGGUCGCCCCCGCGCGGAACAUCUGCAAACGAGACCCUCGCAGUCGGCAACUACACCUGCUGACCGAACAGGUCCAGAACGUGAGUCAGUCCAUGGAGGGAGUCCACCUGCGGACCUCCAGAGACUUACAGCACUUCCGAGAGUCCGAGCCACUCCUGAGGGGGGUGGAUGGACGGUUGCACACGUAUGUGGGCAGCCCCCGCACACUGACAUCCAAGGGUCUGCAGGAGUUAAAGGGGCAGGUGACCCAGUUGCAGCCCCUGCUGUCCACGGCGGGGCAGUACAAGUCGGACCUGCAGACCCUGGCCAGCCUGCGCGCGGAGCUGCUCAACCUGUCCGUCAUCCUGACGGCCAUUCAGGAGGAGAUCGGCGCGUACGACUACGAGGAGCUCCAGCGGAGGGUCCUGCUGCUGGAGACCAGACUGCACAGCUGCAUGAACAAACUAGGUUGCGGACGCCUGACAGCCGUUAGUGGUCCCAUCACCGUUAAGGCGUCCGGGUCCCGCUUUGGCUCCUGGAUGACUGACGCCAUGAUUCCCAGCUCUGACAGCAGGGUGUGGUCCAUGGACGGCUACUACAAGGGCAGGCGCGUGCAGGAGUUCAGAACCAUGGCCGACUUCACCAAGGGCCAGAACUUUGUGCAGCACCUGCUGCCACACCCCUGGGCCGGGACCGGUCAUGUGGUUUACAACGGCUCGCUGUACUACAACAAGCACCAGAGCAACAUCCUGGUCCAAUACCACUUCCGCUCGCGCAGCGUGAUGCUCCAGCGCAGCCUGAGCGGCGCGGGCUACAACAACACCUUCCCCUACAGCUGGGGGGGCUCCUCUGACAUUGACCUCAUGGCCGACGAGACGGGCCUGUGGGCCGUCUACACCUCCAUCCCCAACGCUGGGAACAUCGUGGUGAGUCGCUUGGACCCCCGCUCGCUGGACGUCCUGCGCAGCUGGGACACGGGCUUCCCCAAGCGCAGCGCGGGCGAGGCCUUCAUGAUCUGCGGCGUCCUCUACGUCACCAACUCCCACCUGGCGGGCGCCAAGGUGCACUUCGCCUACAACACCAACACGUCCACGUACGAGUACACGGACGUUCCCUUCCACAACCUCUACUCGCACAUCAGCAUGAUGGACUACAACCCCCGCGAGAGGGCGCUCUACACCUGGAACAACGGACACCAGGUGCUGUACAACGUCACGCUAUUCCACGUCAUACGCACCGACGGCUAGGCCGCCUCUCGCUUCAACCGCAGCACCGUCUGCCCGCCGGGUGGCGGCUCAGCGCGCCAACGCGCUGCUCUGAAGAGUCACCGCAGAGCGCCGCCGCCACGAGGACGCCAUGAGAACAUCCAUAUUAUAUUUAAUCCCCCCCCUCCCCCACUCGUGUCUGAGCGUUGAGCGACAGCAAAGCGGCCGAGCGCCUUUUAAACUUCGGAGACGUUGGCCUCGCUCACAAGGCCCCAGUCAGGCUGAGGAAAAUGUCCGCCCGUUGUAAGAGAAUAAAAGACUCACAUCCAGUGAAACACAAAGAAGCCCAAAGCGGUGUUGAUGAAUCAACGCUGCUGCUUAAACGUGGAGCAAACAUGGCGUACAAACUGAAGAAGAAUUAGGCAAGGCUGGCAAGGAGGGGAGUGAUGGAGGAGGAGAGCAGCAGUGCCAUCAAGCGGUGACAACAAACACUGCAGCUCAGGUUGUGAGCAGUUGCUAGCAGGGUUACUACGGCGACAAGGCCAGACCUCUUCUGCUAAGCAGCACUUCAGCCGUCACUGACAAAAAGAAUGAUGGAGCAGUGUCGGAUGUCACGAUGGUGUACCUAAUGCAGUGUCCAGUGGGUUCUUCUUCUCCAACAUUCUACCAACGUCUUUCCUUCUCCUGGGACGCAAAUGAGUUCCAGGAAAGGAAAAAAAAACAUUAUUUUUCGUGCG